AUUGAACGCUGGCGGCAUGCCUUACACAUGCAAGUCGAACGGUAACAGGGAGCUUGCUCCGCUGACGAGUGGCGAACGGGUGAGUAAUGUAUCGGAACGUACCUUUUAGUGGGGGAUAACGUAGCGAAAGUUACGCUAAUACCGCAUAUUCUCUGAGGAGGAAAGCAGGGGACCUUCGGGCCUUGCGCUAAUAGAGCGGCUGAUAUCAGAUUAGCUAGUUGGUGAGGUAAAGGCUCACCAAGGCGAUGAUCUGUAGCGGGUCUGAGAGGAUGAUCCGCCACACUGGAACUGCGACACGGUCCAGACUCCUACGGGAGGCAGCAGUGGGGAAUUUUGGACAAUGGGGGCAACCCUGAUCCAGCCAUGCCGCGUGGGUGAAGAAGGCCUUCGGGUUGUAAAGCUCUUUCGGCCGGGAAAAAAUCGCAUGGGUUAAUACCCUGUGUGGAUGAUGGUACCGGAAUAAGAAGCACCGGCUAACUACGUGCCAGCCGCCGCGGUAA
This 500-nucleotide ribosomal RNA is filed under the name uncultured bacterium. Its description in RNAcentral is "partial 16S ribosomal RNA". It matches the Rfam family "Bacterial small subunit ribosomal RNA", at positions 30 to 523 of the family's 1533-position model. The record is from RNAcentral.